RNAcentral lists this small nucleolar RNA (124 nucleotides) under Periophthalmus magnuspinnatus. Lineage: Eukaryota; Metazoa; Chordata; Actinopteri; Gobiiformes; Gobiidae. The record is from RNAcentral.
CUCUGGUGAUGAUACGAUGACGAGUCGGAGGGGUCCCUGCCUCUGUGGGUGGAGUCACGUUCUGUGGCCCUUCUGCAGAGCAGGGCCAGAGACCUGAAGACCCUGAGGCAUUUGUCUGAGGAGG